Molecule: long non-coding RNA, 950 nt
Organism: Rosa rugosa (rugosa rose)
Lineage: Eukaryota; Viridiplantae; Streptophyta; Magnoliopsida; Rosales; Rosaceae
Exons: 3
Source: RefSeq, a predicted model, not a curated record
CCGACUCCUGUUCUCUGAAAUCUGAGUAAGACAGACAAAAUCGAUUUGAAGAAGAUAUUGAGUGGCAGCCUUUAUUUGAAUCGUCGGCACCAUUGAUCGAUUGUAGCCGGCUAAUGCAAUUUCGUUCUGGUUCCUGCAGUCCAAGUUCAAUUCUGUUUGUAAUUAGAAUUUGAAUUGUAUCCACGAGAGCCUUGCGAAGGUGAUUAAGCAAGUGGAUUUGGUCGCCAAUUCAUCCAUCGGAGCAGCUUGAGGUAUUCAGAGGAACUGAUUUACGGACAUUUGGGCAGUUUGCCGAUGGGGUGGAGCAAGGGUUUUAUGGACGAUGAUGGCAACUGUAAUAAGAGAAGAAAAUUCACAGAAAGCCUGAAUAGAUCAACUAAUCUUACAGAAAGGUAUUAUACCAAUAAAGUAGAGACUGCUGAAUGGGUUGAUGGUAGGAUCAGAUUGCAGUGUACACUGUUUGAAGGUAUUUCGCUGGUGAAUUCCGAAGUAGCUUGUGUGAAAUAUGAUAUUAGGAAGCUUUGUUCAAUGUUGCGGUGUUUGGAGCCCAACAUAUAGAGUGUGAGAAAGAAAAUCUGUGAAAUUGAACAGUCCUUAUCUGACAUGAAGGUUGGUGGUGUGGAAUCUAUUGUUGCCGAUGUUAUUAAAGUUUUGAAGACAACAAGUUUAAACACUAUGCCUCAGGUAGCGGAAAAGGUAGUAGAAUUCAAGGACAUAGAUGGCCAUAAUUUGUGGACAGACAUCACUAAGGAGAAAGAACCGAGAAAGUUAUGUCCAUGCACCCCAAUAGCUACUGAUGGCCUUCUGCACAUGAAAAUUUCUGACAAAGUUCCACACGAGAAGGUUGAUCAUAUGACAGAUGAGAAGGUGACAGAAUCGGCCGACAAAAAAACUUUGACGGGCUUCAACGACUCAAAGGUUAAAAACAAAAACGACGACAGAUUUCCGUC